This 429-nucleotide ribosomal RNA is filed under the name Bacteroidota bacterium. RNAcentral describes it as "Bacteroidetes bacterium partial 16S ribosomal RNA". It matches the Rfam family "Bacterial small subunit ribosomal RNA", at positions 355 to 776 of the family's 1533-position model. Lineage: Bacteria; Pseudomonadati; Bacteroidota. The record is from RNAcentral.
UAGGGAAUCUUCGGCGAUGGGGGGAACCCUGACCGAGCAACGCCGCGUGAGUGAAGAAGGUUUUCGGAUCGUAAAGCUCUGUUGUUAAGGAAGAACGAGUGUGAGAAUGGAAAGUUCAUGCUGUGACGGUACUUAACCAGAAAGGGACGGCUAACUACGUGCCAGCAGCCGCGGUAAUACGUAGGUCCCGAGCGUUGUCCGGAUUUAUUGGGCGUAAAGCGAGCGCAGGCGGUUAGAAAAGUCUGAAGUGAAAGGCAGUGGCUCAACCAUUGUAGGCUUUGUAAACUGUUUAACUUGGGUGCAGAAGGGGAGAGUGGAAUUCCAUGUGUAGCGGUGAAAUGCGUAGAUAUAUGGAGGAACACCGGUGGCGAAAGCGGCUCUCUGGUCUGUAACUGACGCUGAGGCUCGAAAGCGUGGGGGGCGAACGGG